RNAcentral lists this unclassified non-coding RNA (339 nucleotides) under soil metagenome. Its description in RNAcentral is "partial contains 5.8S ribosomal RNA, internal transcribed spacer 2, and large subunit ribosomal RNA". The stretch from base 1 to 120 matches the Rfam family "5.8S ribosomal RNA", at positions 35 to 154 of the family's 154-position model. The record is from RNAcentral.
GAUGAAGAACGCAGCGAAAUGCGAUAAGUAAUGUGAAUUGCAGAAUUCAGUGAAUCAUCGAAUCUUUGAACGCACAUUGCGCCCGCCAGUAUUCUGGCGGGCAUGCCUGUUCGAGCGUCAUUUCAACCAUCAAGCCCCAGGCUUGUGCUGGGGCCCUGCGGCUGCCCGCAGGCCCUGAAAACCAGUGGCGGGCUCGCUAGUCACACCGAGCGCAGUAGCACAUCUCGCUCAGGGCGUGCGGCGGGCUCCUGCCGUGAAACCCCCCACUGUAACCCCAAAGGUUGACCUCGGAUCAGGUAGGAAUACCCGCUGAACUUAAGCAUAUCAAUAAGCGGAGGA